CCUACGGGUGGCAGCAGUGAGGAAUAUUGGUCAAUGGACGAGAGGCUGAACCAGCCAAGUAGCGUGAAGGAUGACUGCCCUAUGGGUUGUAAACUUCUUUUAUAAAGGAAUAAAACGAGGCACGUGUGCCUUUUUGCGUGUACUUUAUGAAAAAGGAUCGGCUAACUCCGUGCCAGCAGCCGCGGUAAUACGGAGGAUCCGAGCGUUAUCCGGAUUUAUUGGGUUUAAAGGGAGCGUAGAUGGGUUGUUAAGUCAGUGGUGAAAGUUUGAGGCUCAACCCUAAAAUUGCAGUUGAUACUGGCAGUCUUGAGUACAGUUGAGGUAUGCGGAAUUCGUGGUGUAGCGGUGAAAUGCUUAGAUAUCACGAAGAACCCCGAUUGCGAAGGCAGCUUACUAACCUGUGACUGACAUUGAUGCUCGAAAGUGUGGGUAUCAAACAGGAUUAGAUACCCUAGUAGUC
Molecule: ribosomal RNA, 460 nt
Filed under: uncultured bacterium
Lineage: Bacteria
Description: partial 16S ribosomal RNA
Rfam family: Bacterial small subunit ribosomal RNA
Source: RNAcentral